Anarrhichthys ocellatus (wolf-eel) is the source of this 193-nucleotide long non-coding RNA. RefSeq lists it as uncharacterized. NCBI's taxonomy places the organism in Eukaryota, Metazoa, Chordata, Actinopteri, Perciformes, Anarhichadidae. The transcript has 3 exons. The record is from RefSeq and is a predicted model, not a curated record.
CUCCUCUCCUAUACCCAGACACACAGCAGAGAGACUGAUAGGGUGAGAAGAGAAAAAAACAGAGAGAGAAAGCAGUUUUCUGUUCUAUUUCGCCGUCUCCUGUGGUCCCUGGGCCAGCGAGCGGCUAACAGGCACCGCUCAUGUCCGUGAACUCGGAGAAAUCCUCGUCCCCCGAAAGGCCUGAGACCCAGGU